UGAGGGAAUAUUGGGGUCAAUGGACGGAAGUCUGAACCAGCCAUGCCGCGUGAAGGAAUAAGGCCCUAUGGGUCGUAAACUUCUUUUGUGGUGGAGCAAUAAGAUCUACGCGUAGGUCGAUGAGAGUACAUCACGAAUAAGCAUCGGCUAACUCCGUGCCAGCAGCCGCGGUAAUACGGAGGAUGCAAGCGUUAUCCGGAAUUAUUGGGUUUAAAGGGUGCGUAGGCUGUUUUGCAAGUCAGGGGUGAAAGCCCGGAGCUCAACUCCGGAACUGCCUUUGAUACUGCGAGGCUGGAAUACGGAUGCCGUGGGGAUGUGUCAAGUAGCGGUGAAAUGCAUAGAUAUGACACAGAAGGCCGAUUGCGAAGGCAGCUGGC
RNAcentral lists this ribosomal RNA (377 nucleotides) under uncultured Sphingobacterium sp. RNAcentral describes it as "bacterial SSU rRNA". It matches the Rfam family "Bacterial small subunit ribosomal RNA", at positions 354 to 729 of the family's 1533-position model. The record is from RNAcentral. Lineage: Bacteria; Pseudomonadati; Bacteroidota; Sphingobacteriia; Sphingobacteriales; Sphingobacteriaceae.